This 890-nucleotide ribosomal RNA is filed under the name Vibrio alginolyticus. RNAcentral describes it as "partial 23S ribosomal RNA". It matches the Rfam family "Bacterial large subunit ribosomal RNA", at positions 607 to 1505 of the family's 2925-position model. RNAcentral also lists the same sequence under 3 other names. Lineage: Bacteria; Pseudomonadati; Pseudomonadota; Gammaproteobacteria; Vibrionales; Vibrionaceae. The record is from RNAcentral.
UUUGUAUAAUGGGUCAGCGACUUAUAUUCAGUGGCAAGGUUAACCAUCUAGGGGAGCCGUAGGGAAACCGAGUCUUAACUGGGCGUUCAGUCUCUGGAUAUAGACCCGAAACCAGGUGAUCUAGCCAUGGGCAGGUUGAAGGUUGAGUAACAUCAACUGGAGGACCGAACCGACUAAUGUUGAAAAAUUAGCGGAUGACUUGUGGCUAGGGGUGAAAGGCCAAUCAAACCUGGAGAUAGCUGGUUCUCCCCGAAAGCUAUUUAGGUAGCGCCUCGGACGAAUACUACUGGGGGUAGAGCACUGUUAAGGCUAGGGGGUCAUCCCGACUUACCAACCCUUUGCAAACUCCGAAUACCAGUAAGUACUAUCCGGGAGACACACGGCGGGUGCUAACGUCCGUCGUGGAGAGGGAAACAACCCAGACCGCCAGCUAAGGUCCCAAAUUACUACUAAGUGGGAAACGAUGUGGGAAGGCUCAGACAGCCAGGAUGUUGGCUUAGAAGCAGCCAUCAUUUAAAGAAAGCGUAAUAGCUCACUGGUCGAGUCGGCCUGCGCGGAAGAUGUAACGGGGCUAAGUAGUAAACCGAAGCUGCGGCAAUAUACUUUUGUAUAUUGGGUAGGGGAGCGUUCUGUAAGCGGUUGAAGGUGUGUGGUAACGCAUGCUGGACGUAUCAGAAGUGCGAAUGCUGACAUGAGUAACGAUAAAGGGGGUGAAAAACCUCCUCGCCGGAAGACCAAGGGUUCCUGUCCAACGUUAAUCGGGGCAGGGUAAGUCGACCCCUAAGGCGAGGCCGAAAGGCGUAGUCGAUGGGAAACGGGUUAAUAUUCCCGUACUUCUUACAAUUGCGAUGGGGGGACGGAGAAGGCUAGGUGGGCCUGGCGACGGUUGU